CUCCCAUUAGCCUGGCCAAGAAAUUCAGCUCUUCUUUAGCAAGAGGGUUUGGAGCAAUGCUUUCCUGCAGAAACAGUUGCAUGAUUUUUAGCCACAAGAAGGCGAUCACAUUUCCUGCUAAAACCCCAGAGACACAGAAAAACACCUGGGGAGGCUGGCUGGCAAUGCCUCCUCUUGUGAAGAGCAACAUGUAUCACUGAAAAGACAAGCAGCUUUACAGAAACGGUUGUUUUUCUGGUACAGCAGCUCCUGGGUGUUCCUGGGGCUGCCCAUUGACUUACUCGGAUGUGCAGGUCUUGGAAGAAGAUGAGGAGUGUCUGCCGGAUCAGCUGGAACUCCCCUGCAGAAAGACCACCAUAUAUCUGCCAAAGGCAAGCAGAAAGUAGAACUUCACUUUCAAAGAGGGAUG
Molecule: long non-coding RNA, 409 nt
Organism: Callithrix jacchus (white-tufted-ear marmoset)
Lineage: Eukaryota; Metazoa; Chordata; Mammalia; Primates; Cebidae
Source: RefSeq, a predicted model, not a curated record